GUGAACGCUGGCGGUAGGCCUAACACAUGCAAGUCGAACGGCAGCACAGUAAGAGCUUGCUCUUACGGGUGGCGAGUGGCGGACGGGUGAGGAAUACAUCGGAAUCUACUUUUUCGUGGGGGAUAACGUAGGGAAACUUACGCUAAUACCGCAUACGACCUACGGGUGAAAGCAGGGGAUCUUCGGACCUUGCGCGAUUGAAUGAGCCUAUGUCGGAUUAGCUAGUUGGCGGGGUAAAGGCCCACCAAGGCGACGAUCCGUAGCUGGUCUGAGAGGAUGAUCAGCCACACUGGAACUGAGACACGGUCCAGACUCCUACGGGAGGCAGCAGUGGGGAAUAUUGGACAAUGGGCGCAAGCCUGAUCCAGCCAUACCGCGUGGGUGAAGAAGGCCUUCGGGUUGUAAAGCCCUUUUGUUGGGAAAGAAAAGCAGCAGGUUAAUACCCCGCUGUUCUGACGGUACCCAAAGAAUAAGCACCGGCUAACUUCGUG
This 491-nucleotide ribosomal RNA is filed under the name uncultured bacterium. Its description in RNAcentral is "partial 16S ribosomal RNA". It matches the Rfam family "Bacterial small subunit ribosomal RNA", at positions 29 to 507 of the family's 1533-position model. The record is from RNAcentral.